This is a non-coding RNA of Oryctolagus cuniculus (rabbit), 515 nucleotides long. Lineage: Eukaryota; Metazoa; Chordata; Mammalia; Lagomorpha; Leporidae. The record is from RefSeq and is a predicted model, not a curated record.
CUUUGGAAGACAUGUAAGAGGAAAGUCAAUAUGAGACCCUGGAAUCAGACAUAAAGUGCCCCAGUAUAGGACUAUAUAUAGAAGAUGGAAUUGGAAGCCAGAGCCAGAAUUUGAGCCCAAGUACUCCAGUAUAGGAUACAGGCGUCUUAACCAGCAUCUUUACCCUAGAACAAAUGUGCAUCCUUCCCUCUGCAUCUUUAUCAACAUUUGAAAUCAGAGAUUAGAACACAGAAUGUACAUUCACAGAGGGAUGCCCAUAUGAGGACACAGCACAAAGUCUUUCUGCAAGUCACACAGAGGCCUCCAAGGAAACCACAGUCUUUGCAACUCUAUCACAGUACCUUGAAUAAUGCCCAGCACACUGUAGAUGAGGCUAUGAGUUCUGUUAUGGAAAGUUCCAUGUUUACUCUGUUCAACAUCAAGCCCACGUCAAGCACGGAUCCUGUGCAAAAACAGGGUGCAGCAAAUUUGGGGGGAAUGAAUAAACACUCAGGUGAACUGAUUAAAAGAAAUGU